CAAAGAUGGGUGCUGGAGAGGCCCAGAGGAGGGGUUCAGCCCAGUCUAAAGGGGUGAGGGUUGCCAGGCACAGCUUCCAGUAGAGGGAUCCUGCAGAAAGGCCCAGCCGCUUCUGUGAGCUCAGCCCACUGGGAGCAGUCUGUCCCCGAGGACCCACAGACCUCGGCUGUGAGAUGUGUCGAUGAUAAAAUCAAAACCAUAUUUUUCUAUGUUGGAAGACGGAGCCGUGAUAAAUUUGGAAAGUAAUACAUAUCAGGGCUUUGCAGACCACUUCCCGGCAUCUCCCAGCAGACCGGCUUCCUGCAGCCAGAACGGCGCACCCCCAAGGGCGUGCGGCUUGGACUGGCGGCUGCGGCAGUCUGUGAAGCCUUAUCUCAAAAGAGACUCCAGGAGACCAGAGAAGGCCGUUUGAUGUCAGGAUGAAGGACACAGACCUGUCCAACCUACAGUACAGUCAUGUCGGCCACACUGGAUGGGGCAGACUCCACGUCCUCCCUGUGUGGUUCUCGUGGCCCACCAUCCAGGCAGAUGUGCUCACGGGACAGACUGGGGCCCUCAGAGAGCUCUCAGCUCCUGCUCCUCAUGACACAGAAAGGAGUGUGACCGUGCCCACCACUGGUCUUUUAAAAAGACUCGGGGCUGGAAACGACCCAAAAGUCAAUCUGGUGCCUCAGUCUCCAGUGACUACGUGCCCAUCCAGUCCCCCCUUGAGGAGGCUUCCCCCAGCAGGGUCUCCUCUGCUGACAGGGCAGGGACAGAGAGCUCGCUCCCUUGCUGCAGGGGAGGCUCGGCUUCUGCAGCCUGGAAAUCAUCUCCGCAGGAUGGCCCUUUUUCUGGAGGCCUGGACGUUCCCCACAACCCAGCGACACUCUCUGGCGAGAUGA
This 884-nucleotide long non-coding RNA is filed under the name Mustela putorius furo (domestic ferret). RNAcentral's name for it is "lncRNA (ENSMPUG00000023943.1)". The record is from RNAcentral. Lineage: Eukaryota; Metazoa; Chordata; Mammalia; Carnivora; Mustelidae.